GUUUGUUUUCAGUGCGACCAUGAAAUAGGUUAUUACAGAAAGUUACGUUAUGUGAGCACUAUAUCAGUUGAGGUGACGUUAGGCAGUAUGGGUUAUUGCAUUUUGAGCACAUGUGAGACCGACGCCGUUGAUGCUAAUUUUAAAGAAGAACUGGAAGGAUCGACUGGUUUUCGAGUACAUUUCAGACAAUUCCGACCGAUUUACACGGUGAAGCGAAAGGAGAAAGCGCUGGCCGGAACGCAAUGCUUACAGCUAACGGAUGCAUAAAUCUGUAGACAGAUGAAAAAUUCCCACAGGGGUUAGAUACAACUCAAAAGCGCAGACGCUAAUCGGUUGGACACGACCGUUUGCUUGCAUAUUCAAUAGUUUGAUGUGUUCCAUUGCGGUGACCGGCUGUGUCGAUUCAGCUGAAAGUGGUAAGAACAAUAUAGGUAACAACAAAAACAGCAGUGCCCUAUUGAUCGGUGGCAAAGAUAUUCUUCGCAUCAACAACAACAGCAGCAAUGGUAAUGCUGAUGACGACAGUAGACAACAGAAAAGUCCUCACCGCUUUUUUCGUUCAACUGAACCAACAACGUCAUUCGUGUAUGAACCAUUGAAUGAGAAAUGAAAGGCAAACGGCCGAAUAGCGAUCUGUUUUAUGCAGAAAUACAAUGGAUAUAUAAUGCCAAGAUGGUAUGGGCCAUGCUAUCAGCAUCUUCAUUGUUGCGCAUGAGGAUGAAAACUCUACGUUCUUAAUCGCAAAGCAUAGCUUGCAUUAUGGCUGACUUCAAUUUGCGAAGAUUACACAAUCGAUGUCAUUGCUACCCACGCGAGCAUUCAACGGCAGAAUGAUUGUUCGAUUGAUCCGGUGAACAGACGAAGGGGUGACGUGGACUAGCACAGCAGCGCCAUUCCGAGAAAUUCGUUCGCGUCAAGGAUUGUUGCGCUGACAACGCAGAGAACAACAGAUUAUAAUGGCAUGAUUAGUCCGUAUACUAUACGAACAAUAUUAAAAAACAAAACCGGUACUACUGACUAAGUUAUUACAUCUGUCCUACUCUAUGUGAUCAUUGUACUGCG
Molecule: long non-coding RNA, 1062 nt
Organism: Varroa destructor (honeybee mite)
Lineage: Eukaryota; Metazoa; Arthropoda; Arachnida; Mesostigmata; Varroidae
Source: RefSeq, a predicted model, not a curated record